GCCCCCAUAGCUCAGUUGGUUAGAGUGUGGUGCUGAUAACGCCAAGGCUGCAGGUUCGAUCCCUGUAUGGUACA
Molecule: transfer RNA, 74 nt
Filed under: Podarcis lilfordi (Lilford's wall lizard)
Lineage: Eukaryota; Metazoa; Chordata; Lepidosauria; Squamata; Lacertidae
Description: tRNA.Ile
Rfam family: tRNA (bases 8-66)
About the family: Transfer RNA (tRNA) molecules are approximately 80 nucleotides in length. Their secondary structure includes four short double-helical elements and three loops (D, anti-codon, and T loops).
Source: RNAcentral